GGGAUUUGAAAUGGUCAGUGAUCUGUUUGUUGACUUGGCUUUAGAAGACUUUAGAAACGCAGGGCAGGAGGGAUAUAGGUCUGUAACAGUUUGGGUCUAGAGGCAGGGCAGGAUGGAUAUAGGUCUGUAACAGUUUGGGUCUAGAGGCAGGGCAGGAUGGAUAUAGGUCUGUAACAGUUUGGGUCUAGAGGCAGGGCAGGAUGGAUAUAGGUCUGUAACAGUUUGGGUCUAGAGGCAGGGCAGGAUGGAUAUAGGUCUGUAACAGUUUGGGUCUAGAGGCAGGGCAGGGCAGGAUGGAUAUAGGUCUGUAACAGUUUGGGUCUAGAGGCAGGGCAGGGCAGGAUGGAUAUAGGUCUAUAACAGUUUGGGUCUAGAGGCAGGGCAGGAUAGAUAUAGGUCUGUAACAGUUUGGGUCUAGA
Molecule: long non-coding RNA, 419 nt
Organism: Oncorhynchus tshawytscha (Chinook salmon)
Lineage: Eukaryota; Metazoa; Chordata; Actinopteri; Salmoniformes; Salmonidae
Source: Ensembl